CUACCUCCACACUUCUACUCUACAGACCGACACCCCCAUCUCCAUCUUGUUCCCUUCCUUCCUCUCUACUUGCUCCCAUGGCUUCCCUGCUUUAAUCCUCCUCUGUUGGCGGCAAAUCCAUGGGAGAAACCAACAAAAUGGAACGAGGACGACAAGAGGAGCAAGAAGAGGGGCAUCUUCAAGGUGGAUUGGUCCUUCCCCCUCUCUUCCCGCUGCCCUAGGGUUUGGGGAAGACCAAGGCCAGGUGGUUGGAGAGAUAUGAUUUUUUGAAGUGAGCUGUAAAGUUUUGAUAAGGUUCUGGACAGAACUGGAUCUAUAAGAAUUUUGGAAACCUCAAGGUGGUAAUGAUUCGUAUGGCGCCUAAAGCGGUCAUCCCUUCAUUGGAGGCAAGUAAACGUAGCGGUGGUUUGCAACGAGCUUUAACUUAUUAUUCGUACUACCUCCACCUUAAAAAUUCAGAACUACAACUAAUACUAUGUGAGCUAUUUAAUCAUGCUUUAAUCAAUUUGAUAUAUGUUCUAUGGUUACUAGUUAUUCUAUGUGAAUAUAUAUAUAUAUAUAUAUAUAUAUGUUACUCUACUUAUGGCUUGGAGAUGUUCGCCAGGGCUUAAUGGAAUGAGGCUUAUUGUUCAUAUGGAGUUUUUGCAUGAUAGUGUAUAUGGUUUAUCAUACUCUAUGGCAUUUGCACUGCAUCUCAUUCAUUGCAUCGGCAUAUAGAGUUAUGUCACUGCUUCUAGCCGUGACCGUACAGUACAGCAUCGUUUAUCGAUGCUGCUCCAUACCUUGUUGGGUAUGAAGGCAGGAGACAUGGCAUUUGCAGUAUAUCAUUACUUUCUAUGGCAUUUGCAUUGCAUUCAAUGGCAUAUGGAGUUAUGACACUGCUUCUAGCCACGACCAUACCAGUACAGCACCGUUUAUCGAUGCGGCUUCAUACCUUGUUGGGUAUGAAGGCAGGAGACAUGGCAUUUGCAUUGCAUAUGAAUUAUGAUUUUGGAUUAUGGCAUAUUUGUCUUGGAUUCAGGCUUUGGGAGAAUUAUGUCAUAUUUGUCUUGGAUUCAGGCAUAGGGAGAAACACUGAGAAGCGAUGCUUCUCCUAGGCUUGGUGGUGAUCGGUAUUUAUCUUGCAUAUGAAGUAUUUAUUUGAUUUGUUAUAUCUCAUGGAUUAUCAUUGGUUUACCUUUAAUUGGGAGAUUAAGUCGAUACUUAAUUGAACUUGUAGUUUAAAUAGCUUGUUAAAGCAAUUUACUUGCUGAGAUGUCAUAUCUCACACCCGCUUUUAUCUUUCCAGGUACUUGAAUCGCUUUGCUUGAAGGGUGGGAAGCUUCUCCUUGUCGUUUUCCUUAAAUUUGCAAUGUGGUUCAUGUUGACUGGUUUAGAAUUUGUUUGGUGGUUUCAUCUAUUGUUUAAUGUGUUAUAUCAUGCUAGUGUGCUUAUAUUUAUCUCUAUACGUUGUUGCUUCCACGAUGCACCUUUUUGCAAGGAAGAUGCUCCCAAAAUUUCUAUUAGUUAUAUACAUUUUUAUCCUUUGGGUGUUAUAUUUGGUUUUGGGGCAUUACACAUCCUCGAGAAGGCAUGGGCUUGCUUCAUCAAAAAGCACGUAGGAGUUGUUGACAGGUCGUGUGAUCUUCAUAUCAAGCUGGACUUUCUGUGUUUGAGACCCGAGGACGGAAACAAUUUAUGUAGCUAUUAUGUAUGUGAGCUCAUCCACGACUUUAUCGGUGCAAAGAAAAUGACAUAAAAAGAAUUCGAUAUUUGAAAAAUUAAAGAAGACCUCAUCGAACCACAAAAAGUUAGGGCAAUUCAAGAAUAACUGUGGAUUCCUGCUGGAUGAGGUCAUAAAUCCCACCAGAGAAUAUUAUGCCGAUCAUAGAGUAAAUGUGGGUCUAUUUGAUGAAAAUAGGGACAACGAUGAAGAAGAAGAGUAAUAUUUGAAUUAGUUGUAAGAAAACAACUUAUAUGACUACUUGUAUUAUUUGAUCCCAAGUGUGCAUUAUUAUUUGAAGUAUUUGUAAUA
Long non-coding RNA from Panicum hallii, 2014 nucleotides. RefSeq lists it as uncharacterized. NCBI's taxonomy places the organism in Eukaryota, Viridiplantae, Streptophyta, Magnoliopsida, Poales, Poaceae. The transcript has 5 exons. The record is from RefSeq and is a predicted model, not a curated record.